UACGGAGGGUGCGAGCGUUGUCCGGAAUCACUGGGCGUAAAGGGCGCGUAGGCGGCCUGGUAAGUAGGGGGUGAAAUCCUGCGGCUUAACCGAGGAACUGCCCUCCAAACUGCUUGGCUUGAGACCAGGAGAGGUGAGUGGAAUUCCCAGUGUAGCGGUGAAAUGCGUAGAUAUUGGGAGGAACACCAGUGGCGAAGGCGGCUCACUGGACUGGUACUGACGCUGAGGCGCGAAAGCGUGGGGAGCAAACGGG
This 253-nucleotide ribosomal RNA is filed under the name uncultured bacterium. RNAcentral describes it as "partial 16S ribosomal RNA". It matches the Rfam family "Bacterial small subunit ribosomal RNA", at positions 524 to 776 of the family's 1533-position model. The record is from RNAcentral.